This 84-nucleotide transfer RNA is filed under the name Schistocephalus solidus. It matches the Rfam family "tRNA". Rfam says of the family: Transfer RNA (tRNA) molecules are approximately 80 nucleotides in length. Their secondary structure includes four short double-helical elements and three loops (D, anti-codon, and T loops). The record is from Rfam by way of RNAcentral. Lineage: Eukaryota; Metazoa; Platyhelminthes; Cestoda; Diphyllobothriidea; Diphyllobothriidae.
GGCCUCGUAGUUCAGUUGGCUAGAGCGUUGGCUUUACUAAAAGCCUUAUCCUCGCCGUUGUGGGUUCGAAUCCAACUGAGGCCG